This 253-nucleotide ribosomal RNA is filed under the name Tomentella sp. D14. RNAcentral's name for it is "partial 28S ribosomal RNA". It matches the Rfam family "Eukaryotic large subunit ribosomal RNA", at positions 1 to 244 of the family's 3401-position model. Lineage: Eukaryota; Fungi; Basidiomycota; Agaricomycetes; Thelephorales; Thelephoraceae. The record is from RNAcentral.
UUUGAUCUCAAAUCAGGUAGGAUUACCCGCUGAACUUAAGCAUAUCAAUAAGCGGAGGAAAAGAAACUAACAAGGAUUCCCCUAGUAACUGCGAGUGAAGCGGGAAGAGCUCAAAUUUAAAAUCUGGCGUGCCUUUGGCCGUCCGAGUUGUAGUCUGGAGAAGCGUUUUCCGUGUUGGACCGUGUAUAAGUCUCUUGGAACAGGGCGUCAUAGAGGGUGAGAAUCCCGUCUUUGACACGGACUACCAAUGCUU